CCUACGGGUGGCUGCAGUGGGGAAUAUUGCACAAUGGGGGAAACCCUGAUGCAGCGACGCCGCGUGAGUGAAGAAGUAUUUCGGUACGUAAAGCUCUAUCAGCAGAGAAGAAAAUGACGGUACCUGACUAAGAAGCCCCGGCUAACUACGUGCCAGCAGCCGCGGUGAUACGUAGGGGGCAAGCGGUAGCCGGAUUUACUGGUUGUAAAGGGAGCGUAGACGGCAGCGGCAGUCUGAAGUGAAAUGCCAUGGCUUAACCAUGGAACUGCUUUGGAAACUGUGGAGCUGGAGUGCAGGAGAGGUAAGCGGAAUUGCUGGUGUAGCGGUGAAAUGCGUAGAUAUUAGGAGGAACACCAGUGGCGAAGGCGGCUUACUGGACUGUAACUGACGUUGAGGCUCGAAAGCGUGGGGAGCAAACAGGAUUAGAUACCCCAGUAGUC
RNAcentral lists this ribosomal RNA (440 nucleotides) under uncultured bacterium. Its description in RNAcentral is "partial 16S ribosomal RNA". It matches the Rfam family "Bacterial small subunit ribosomal RNA", at positions 338 to 795 of the family's 1533-position model. The record is from RNAcentral.